RNAcentral lists this long non-coding RNA (5213 nucleotides) under Sus scrofa (pig). RNAcentral describes it as "lncRNA (ENSSSCG00000052886.1, ENSSSCG00110010235.1)". The record is from RNAcentral. Lineage: Eukaryota; Metazoa; Chordata; Mammalia; Artiodactyla; Suidae.
GGUGCCAGGUGACUUCUGGGCAGUACCUUUAAAAGAGGGGUAUGUUCUUUGUAACUACAUUCUGGAGUAAGGAUGUGAUGGCUGGAGUUCAGAAGCCGUCUCAGAGCAUGAGAGAGGGCACAGCAGAGAGAUGGGCGGGGAUUGGGUCUCCUAGAGCAGCUUGGGUCUCUUUUCUUUGACUUCUGUCACUUAAAAGAGACAUUAGCUCCUGUCCUGUUCAAGCUGUUCUUACUUUUUUCUGUUCUGCAGAACCAAUUUGUGGUGCCAGCAAAUUACUCCAUUGCUAAAAUUAAUUAUUAUCAUGACACGUUCCUUCUGAUGAUAAGGCUUAGCACUUAGUAUUUUCAUGACAAAGUGAAAGGGCAGAGAGAUUUGUCAUUUGAUUCAUUCCACUCUAAAUUCCAAAUGCUGGAACAGCCGUUGGGUUUCCCUCAGGUUGGCUUGAUCAUGCAGCACUUUCCAAUGACUUUAGCCAGCAUGUUAAAAAACUGUGGUUUUCAUGUCAUAACUAUCUGCACCUCUACAGUAAAAUAAGUCUUUAUUUUUAAAUGUCAAACUCUCAGUGAAAGAGUAAUGCUUUUAAAACUACACCCUGUUAAUUGCUGUAAAAUUGCCCCAGGUGUUCCUCACCACAAAUAUGUUCCCUGGUGCCACCCACCACUUGAUUCCCUCCUCAUGCUCCCUGUGUCCCAGGCUAAAUCCUCAUCAUCCUAGAGAUAAAGCAGACACUUGGGAGAAAGGAUUUGAUUUAAAAUAAGUGGAACUGUAUUCAAGCUAACUUAACUAAAGCAUCAUUUAUUUGUUCAUACUACUGAACAGUCCACUGGACAUAGGUCUCCUGGUUUCCAGCUUUUGCUGGAUAGAGUAGCGUCGUCAGAAAUCUGUUCAUUACAUUCCUUGCUCUCCUCUGUGGGGGCAGGGCUUCUCUGAUUGGUCAACAACGUUGUUCCCAGAAACUAAAGUUUCUCAUAGUCUUUUUUUUUUUUUCUUUUUUCUCCCCCUGCCCCAUACUUUUUUCUUGUCUUUUUUCUUUUUAGGGUAGCACCUGCAGCCUAUGGAAGUUCCCAGGCUAGGAGUCAGUUCCCAGACUGUGGCACCACAGCCACAGCAAUGCCACAUCCAAGCCACGUCUGUGACCUACACCACAGCUCACAGCAAUGCCAGAUCCUUAACCCUCUGAGCAGGGCCAGGGAUGGAACCCACGUCCUGGAUAUUACUUGGGUUCAUAACCCACUGAAACUACAAUGAGAACUCCCCUCCCCAUACAUUUUAAUAUUAGCACUACUACCCCAAAAUGGACUGGUUCUAAUUUGCCUGGUUUAAAACAUGUGCUAACUCCAAACUAACCCCAGAGCUGGGGGGUGGAGUUUUCUGAUUAGUAAGGCCUUGUCCACAGGCUGCCUGUGUAGCCACAGAGACUGCAUGAGAAGACAAUGACAAAAAGAAGAGGGAUUUUAUCUGCAGAAAAGAACGUAUUUAGCAAGAAAAUAUAGCAGGCUUCUACAACUGGGCAAUUCAACUUUAGAAACGAGGACAACUAAUGUGUUACUUUCAGCAUCUUUGAAUCUUUCUAGGUCUCAUCCUUUUCUUCUUAUGACACUUUACAGCUAAUUCUAUUUUACUGCUAAUUCAUUUGUAGUUCAGCUAACAUUAAUUUACAUAGGUUUCUGACUCCUCUAACUUCCCUUCUAAACUUCUGGCUUUUCAACCUAGAGAUAGAUGCAUGAUUGAGAAGAGCAAGCUGUGUAUAAAUGAGGACUUUAAAUUCUUUGCUUUAAAUAGAUAGAAUGGUUGAGUUUAAAAGUUUGGGGGGACAAUGAAGUAGAGAGUGAAAUAGCCCUCAUUUAGGAAGCGCUUUGAGAGAUCAUGAUACUGGGUGCCAGCCACAUGACAACUAGCGUAAAUAGGGUGGGUGAGUUUGUCUAUCACAGGUUUUUAUUUCUCAGGAAUUUCAUCUCCAGUUCAUUCAGAGGCUUCAGUGCGAACCAGGCAGAGGGAGGCAAGGGCAUGAUAAAACCAAGGGUGGAUCAAGAAGGAUUGUUGGCCAGUCAGCCAAAUGCAAGUGGUGCCCUUGGCUUUGACCAAACAGCACCAAGAGCCAUGUGCUCUUGAUGUGGUAUGUGGCAUAAGGCAGCAGACAGGAGGCAGAUCAACGGGUGACCAUGUCAAAGUCCCGAGUUAUGGUGCAGGUCUCCACUCAGCAAUGGAGGAGGUCAGUAUUCCUCUCCCAAGAAUAGGUACUGGCAAAAGCUAGGCAAAACUUUCCACUCUGCAGGGAAUCUCAGGUAUCAGCCCAGAAGCAAAGACAAUCAGUGCACAUGCAUGAAGACCAGGGUGCUGGCUUUGAUCUGGAGCAUGCCAUUGCCAGACAAACCCCGGAUUACGACCUCUGGAGGGUCUGUAGCUGCCAACACCUUGCUGACUGGGAUCACAAUGGAUGAGAACUCAGGGCUGAGUUUUCCAGUUAAAGUUACCAGCUGAGGGAGCCUUCUGAGGAAGAGGAAAAAGAUAAAUCUGAGGCAAUGCUCAGUUUGUUUAUAAUUUAUUUUUGUAUCUUGAAGCACCUACUACAGUGCUGGGCACUGUACUCAAUACAGACAUAAUCAAUUAAAGGGGGGGGUGACAUGAACACACAAGCAUCUUCCCAAUGUGACAACACAUAAAACCAGGGACAAAAGCACAGCCACAGAGGGAAGAAUGCUGGCUGGGCCAUCUCGCUGUGUAAACUUAGUCUGCUUGAUGCAGUGUUCCAAACACACAAGCCAACCAGCUUCAAGGCCACUCCUCCAGAAUCCGCAAAAAGGCUUGUUAAUAUCAACCUGUUCUUUUAGUUCCCGGGUACUGAUGUGAUUUCCUAGGUCUACACGCUAUUAAAUUUAGUCGUUUUUGGAAAGAGAGAGGAGUUAGAGCCACUGGGUAGAAACGUGGGAGUUUUCAGUUCCAGAGCAAAGACAUCUUCAGACCCAUUGCUAUCUAGGAGGAGAACUUUGUCUUUUAAAAUUUUUAUUCUGGGGCAACUUGAGGGUAUUCGCACCCAUUGUAUCUUUCUGGCUCCAACAUAAGGAAAACGCCUUUCCCCCCUUCUAUGCCUAUUUCCCUCUCCAGCAGCAGGUAACCUUGGGUUACAGAGGAACUCCUUCAUGGCUUCUACGGCCACCAGUCAUAUGAGAUUGCUCAGUAGUUUUUGGAACUUCCCAGGAAUCAGAAAAAGUAGGUGUUGCCAGAUUAUCUUGGCCAUCGUUGGACUGACAGAUGUCUCAUCCAGGUUGUCCUCAUGCCCAAGUGGUUAUUGGGAGCCAUGCCAGAGCUCCAGGCUGGUGGUCCAAGGGUACACACAGCCAGAGUGGGCAGCGGGCAGGAGGCAUAGUUGAAUCUGAGCUACACUCGAGUCCAGGCAGGCAGCCAGCCUGAGAGGUAAUCAAAGUUACCUAAGGGGUAAUUUAGGGUAGAAACAGUUUGUAUCCCUUGUAGCAAAGAACAUUCAGGUGGGGGGCAAAAGCAUAUUGAACAGCUCUGUGUGCCCAUGAGUGUCCUUGACCUUAGGGAAAGCUCGGUUGGAGCACAUCAUGAAGUUCUGUAGUCAUAGUCUGAGACCGGCUUGAUUGGUGGUUACUUCCUUUGUUGCCAGAACUCUACGAAAGGGACUCUGUUCCUUUAUGUGGAGCUUAGUUUCUAAAGAAUCACUUUCAAACCAUCCCUCCAUAUACCCCGAGUAGCCAUAAGCUGUAGUCUCAUGAGAGGCUUGGGUCUUAUCUGAAUUAGGGCUGCGGGUGGGGUUGGGUACUACAUCUUUAGGAAGGUGAUGGUGCCGGGAGGAGGUCGUCCUUGUCCACCUGACCGUCCUUCCCCCAGCGAACGCGGUUUCCCCGGGGCAGGCAGGGGCAGUGGCUGCUCUCUGCUCUGCUCUGCUCUGGUAAGAUCUGCAGCUGUGAGCUGGGCAAAUGUCCAGGGUGAGCACUGCUGAUUACACCCUUGACGGUGGUCCAGUUGGCCUUGCAUGAUGCAGGAGCACAUGGGAGAAGGCGGCAGCUCCGGACAGACAUUCUCUCCUCACCCACAUAAAUCCUCAGAGGGUUUCCCUCUGUGGGUUUAUAAAAGCCCAUUAUCUAAUUCAUGACUCAGAGAAUUGAACUUGCUAGCAAGAGGCUAUUUAAGUCACAUUUUGAAUAAUUUCUCAGCAGUUCAUUACAUGGGAAAACAGGUCCUUUUUGUUCUAAUCCUUAGCCUAGGAAUGCAACUUCCCUCUGCCAAAUUCAUUAACAAAACCUGUGUAUAGGGGCCAGCAACUCUGGCCAGUUUCUUAAAUGCACUGAAACUUGCUGAUCAUUGAAAUGUAAAUUUUUACCUUUGGCUGGAAAUGAUUCAUGGGUCUCGGCUUGUAGGAAAUAGCAAUGUCACUUUCAAAGGCCCAGACCAAGUGCCCAGUGUGAGAUGAGGCUUAACGUGUGGCAACCAAGAGAGGGCCACAUGUCAUCUUCCCGACGCAGCAGAAGGGAGGUCUGGUUGUGAAUGUGGGGAACAGCUUGAGGGGGAAAAACGGUCCCCUUGUUGGCAAUCUGGUGUACCAGAGCUCAGAAGAGCCCAACCACAGGACCAGGCUGUUCAGGCUCCUGGUCACAUCAGUUACCAUCCCUCUGAGAAGAGUUCAGGCUUUUGCCACCCCAGGCUGACCGGUGCAGAGUGGUGGGCCGGUUUCUCUACACAGAGGAAGAUCGAGCCGUGGCCAGUGGAAGACCCCAGACCAAGGAAGCUGGUGAAAUGGGUGAGGCGUAAGAAGCCGUCUCAGGAAACAGUGCUGCUUGAUACAAAGCUAGAUGUCCUUGUUACUAAGCAUGUAUUUUUUAAUUUAUAUUAUGUGUAACAUAAGAUAGAGUUAAAUGAUAUUAUUUUGAUAUAUUGAAAAUACUGAAAAUGUUUAAAAUAAAAUAUUAAAACAUUUUUAAAAAUAUACACCUUUUCAAUUUUUUAAUUGUGGUAAAAUACAUCACGCUGGUUCCCGUCAUGGCUCAACGGUUAAUGAACCCAACUAGCAUCCAUGAGGUUGUGGGUUUGAUCCCUGGCCUCGCUCAGUAGGUUAAGGAUCCUGCAUUGCUGUGAGAUGUGGUGUAGGUCGCAGACACGGAUCUGUGUUGCUGUGGCUGUGACACAGGCCGGCUGCUCCAGCUCCGACUUGACCCCUAGCCUGGGAACCUCCACAUGCCGCUGGUGUGGCC